Molecule: ribosomal RNA, 253 nt
Filed under: uncultured bacterium
Lineage: Bacteria
Description: partial 16S ribosomal RNA
Rfam family: Bacterial small subunit ribosomal RNA
Source: RNAcentral
GACGGAGGAUGCAAGUGUUAUCCGGAAUCACUGGGCGUAAAGCGUCUGUAGGUGGUCAAAUAAGUCAACUGUUAAAUCUUGAGGCUCAACCUCAAAAUCGCAGUCGAAACUAUUAGACUAGAGUAUAGUAGGGGUAAAGGGAAUUUCCAGUGGAGCGGUGAAAUGCGUAGAGAUUGGAAAGAACACCGAUGGCGAAGGCACUUUACUGGGCUAUUACUAACACUCAGAGACGAAAGCUAGGGGAGCAAACAGG